CCUACGGUGCGCAGCAGUCGAGAAUUAUUCACAAUGGGGGAAACCCUGAUGGUGCGACGCCGCGUGGGGGAAUGAAGGUCUUCGGAUUGUAAACCCCUGUCAUGUGGGAGCAAAUUAAAAAGAUAGUACCACAAGAGGAAGAGUCGGCUAACUCUGUGCCAGCAGCCGCGGUAAUACAGAGGUCUCAAGCGUUGUUCGGAAUCACUGGGCGUAAAGCGUGCGUGGGCUGUGUUGUAAGUCGUGUGUGAAAGGCGCGGGCUCAACCCGCGGACGGCACAUGAUACUGCGAGACUAGAGUAAUGGAGGGGGAACCGGAAUUCGCGGUGUAGCAGUGAAAUGCGUAGAUAUCGAGAGGAACACUCGUGGCGAAGGCGGGUUCCUGGACAUUAACUGACGCUGAGGCACGAAGGCCAGGGGAGCGAAAGGGAUUAGAUACCCUAGUAGUC
RNAcentral lists this ribosomal RNA (446 nucleotides) under uncultured bacterium. Its description in RNAcentral is "partial 16S ribosomal RNA". It matches the Rfam family "Bacterial small subunit ribosomal RNA", at positions 338 to 795 of the family's 1533-position model. The record is from RNAcentral.